UUUUAGGGUUUAAAACCCAAUUGCUGGCUGAAUGGAAAAAGUUCAGUUUAGGGUUUAAAACCCUAAUGCUGACUAAAGGAAAAAGUUCAGUUUAGGGUUUAAAACUCUAAUGCUGACUAAAGGAAAAAUUCAGUUUAGGGUUUAAAACCCUAAUGCUGACUGAAUGGAAAAAGUUCAGUUUAGGGUUUAAAACCCUAAUGCUGACUAAAGGAAAAAGUUCAGUUUAGGGUUUAAAACCCUAAUGCUGACUAAAGGAAAAAUUCAGUUUAGGGUUUAAAACCCUAAUGCUGACUGCAUGGAAGAGCUCAGUUUAGGGUUUAAAACCCUAAUGCCGGCUGAAAGGAAAAAUUCAGUUUAGGGUUUAAAACCCUAAUGCUGACUGCAUGGAAAAGCUCAGUUUAGGGUUUAAAACCCUAAUGCUGGCUGAAAGGAAAAGUUCAGUUUAGGGUUUAAAACCCUAAUGCUGACUGCAUGGAAAAACUCAGUUUAGGGUUUAAAACCCUAAUGCUGGCUGAAUGGAAAAAGUUCAGUUUAGGGUUUAAAACCCUAAUGCUGACUAAAGGAAAAAUUCCGUUUAGGGUUUAAAACCCUAAUGUUGACUGCAUGGAAGAGCUCAGUUUAGGGUUUAAAACCCUAAUGCUGGCUGAAUGGAAAAAGUUCAGUUUAGGGUUUAAAACCCUAAUGCUGACUGCAUGGAAGAGCUCAGUUUAGGGUUUAAAACCCUAAUGCUGGCUGAAAGGAAAAGUUCAGUUUAGGGUUUAAAACCCUAAUGCUGACUACAUGGAAAAACUCAGUUUAGGGUUUAAAACCCUAAUGCUGGCUGAAUGGAAAAAGUUCAGUUUACGGUUUAAAACCCUAAUGCUGACUAAAGGAAAAAUUCCGUUUAGGGUUUAAAACCCUAAUGCUGACUGCAUGGAAGAGCUCAGUUUAGGGUUUAAAACCCUAAUGCCGGUUGAAAGGAAAAAUUUAGUUUAGGGUUUAAAACCCUAAUGCUGACUGCAUGGAAAAGCUCAGUUUAGGGUUUAAAACCCUAAUGCUGGCUGAAUGGAAAAAGUUUAGUUUAGGGUUUAAAACCCUAAUGUUGACUGCAUGGAAGAGCUCAGUUUAUGGUUUAAAACCCUAAUGCCGGCUGAAAGGAAAAAUUCAAUUUAGGGUUUAAAACCCUAAUGCUGACUGCAUGGAAAAACUCAGUUUAGGGUUUAAAACCCUAAUGCUGGCUGAAUGGAAAAAGUUCAGUUUAGGGUUUAAAACCCUAAUGCUGACUGCAUGGAAGAGCUCAGUUUAGGGUUUAAAACCCUAAUGCCGGCUGAAAGGAAAAAUUCAGUUUAGGGUUUAAAACCCUAAUGUUGACUGCAUGUAAAAGCUU
RNAcentral lists this long non-coding RNA (1366 nucleotides) under Nicotiana tabacum (common tobacco). RNAcentral's name for it is "long non-coding RNA (NTAB_LNC001799)". The record is from RNAcentral. Lineage: Eukaryota; Viridiplantae; Streptophyta; Magnoliopsida; Solanales; Solanaceae.